GAAUGAAUCACUUGUGGGGUGCUGCAUUUCCCAGAGCAGAUGGGAGCUGUUGGGUUCAGAGUCAGAAAUUAUGGAAAGGGAUGCAACGUGUAUCAGCUCCCUUUGGGCAGGAGAGAUCAGAGCGGGGGAUAGGAUGAUUGAAGUGUUUUGGUUUGGUUUGGUUGGAAGACUGUACUGGCUUGCCAGAGGGAAUUCAGAGAAAACCAGAAUACUUUCCCAAAGAGAAGGCAAUUUGACCACCUGCAACUGGAAAGACAUCAAUCAGAUCUCAUUUGGAUUGCCAUCCUUGGGCUUCUCCACUGCAACUCAGAGAGUCCUGGGGCCCCUGUGCCAUUCCUGCUUUGGGGACAUGGGCAGAAAAAAGGUGGUCUCUCUAUCAGACAGUUGGAUGAUGGCAGCACCCAACUUCAGCUGGAAGUGCUCAAACCCUGCAGCAAUGAGACUAAUAUUAAAAACCCUGAUAGUAUCAGGCACCACACUCCAUUAUAUCAGGACUGCAUUUCCAUCUUCAUGCUCAGUCUUCUUAAAAAAGCUUGUGGAGAGCGGGGGCUCAUGA
Molecule: long non-coding RNA, 556 nt
Filed under: Junco hyemalis (dark-eyed junco)
Lineage: Eukaryota; Metazoa; Chordata; Aves; Passeriformes; Passerellidae
Description: lncRNA (ENSJHYG00000017750.1)
Source: RNAcentral